This 235-nucleotide unclassified non-coding RNA is filed under the name fungal sp. RNAcentral describes it as "partial internal transcribed spacer region". The stretch from base 1 to 46 matches the Rfam family "Eukaryotic small subunit ribosomal RNA", at positions 1786 to 1831 of the family's 1831-position model. Lineage: Eukaryota; Fungi. The record is from RNAcentral.
AAGUCGUAACAAGGUCUCCGUAGGUGAACCUGCGGAGGGAUCAUUACAGAGUGUAACAACUCCUAAACCACCUGUAGACAUACCUAUUUUGUUGCUUUGGCAGGCGGUCCCAGGGCGGGACCGUUGGCCGGCCUGUCCGGUGCCUGCCGAAGAAACGUAACACUCGUUGUCUCACUGUACUCUGAGUCUUUAUACAAAUCAGUCAAAACCUUCAACAACGGAUCUCUUGGUUCUG